GCCAGUCCUGCCUGAGCUGUCGGCGCGUGGCUGUUUCCUGUUUGCGGUUCUACAAUUAGUGGAAUACCUUCUGAAGAAGACAGUUUUAAAACUAUUGAAACCAUGGUCAAGGUUUAAUAAGCCUGUAUUUUGCAACUGCCUUGUUGGUAUUCGUAAUCCACUGAAGCUCUUGAAAGCAUACUUGCUGAAGAGCAGCCAUGUUCAAAGACACUCACAAGUGCAAGCAGAUGGGGCCAGCAAAUCGUCUGCAGCCGGCUGAAUGCUGAACUGCAGCAGAAUGAUGGCGUACGUGA
Schistocerca piceifrons (Central American locust) is the source of this 293-nucleotide long non-coding RNA. RefSeq lists it as uncharacterized. Lineage: Eukaryota; Metazoa; Arthropoda; Insecta; Orthoptera; Acrididae. The record is from RefSeq and is a predicted model, not a curated record. The transcript has 3 exons.